GACGAACGCUGGCGGCGUGCUUAACACAUGCAAGUCGAGCGGAAAGGCCCUGCUUGCCGGGUACUCGAGUGGCGAACGGGUGAGUAACACGUGGGUGAUCUGCCCUGCACUUCGGGAUAAGCCUGGGAAACUGGGUCUAAUACCGGAUAUGACCUUCCAUGUAGUGUGGGGGGUGGAAAGAUUUAUCGGUGUGGGAUGAGCCCGCGGCCUAUCAGCUUGUUGGUGGGGUAAUGGCCUACCAAGGCGUCGACGGGUAGCCGGCCUGAGAGGGUGGACGGCCACAUUGGGACUGAGAUACGGCCCAGACUCCUACGGGAGGCAGCAGUGGGGAAUAUUGCACAAUGGGCGGAAGCCUGAUGCAGCGACGCCGCGUGGGGGAUGACGGCCUUCGGGUUGUAAACCUCUUUCGACAGGGACGAAGCUUCGGUGACGGUACCUGUAUAAGAAGCACCGGCUAACUACGUG
Molecule: ribosomal RNA, 465 nt
Filed under: uncultured bacterium
Lineage: Bacteria
Description: partial 16S ribosomal RNA
Rfam family: Bacterial small subunit ribosomal RNA
Source: RNAcentral